AAAUUGAAGAGUUUGAUCAUGGCUCAGAUUGAACGCUGGCGGCAGGCCUAACACAUGCAAGUCGAACGGUAACAGGAAGCAGCUUGCUGCUUUGCUGACGAGUGGCGGACGGGUGAGUAAUGUCUGGGAAACUGCCUGGUGGAGGGGGAUAACUACUGGAAACGGUAGCUAAUACCGCAUAACGUCGCAAGACCAAAGAGGGGGACCUUCGGGCCUCUUGCCAUCGGAUGUGCCCAGAUGGGAUUAGCUAGUAGGUGGGGUAA
Molecule: ribosomal RNA, 263 nt
Filed under: Escherichia coli
Lineage: Bacteria; Pseudomonadati; Pseudomonadota; Gammaproteobacteria; Enterobacterales; Enterobacteriaceae
Description: partial 16S ribosomal RNA
Rfam family: Bacterial small subunit ribosomal RNA
Source: RNAcentral